UACGUAGGGUGCGAGCGUUAAUCGGAAUUACUGGGCGUAAAGCGUGCGCAGGCGGUUCGUUAAGUUCGAUGUGAAAGCCCCGGGCUCAACCUGGGAGGUGCAUUGGAAACUGGCGAGCUUGAGUGUGGCAGAGGGGGGUGGAAUUCCGCGUGUAGCAGUGAAAUGCGUAGAGAUGCGGAGGAACACCGAUGGCGAAGGCAGCCCCCUGGGCCAACACUGACGCUCAGGCACGAAAGCGUGGGGAGCAAACAGG
RNAcentral lists this ribosomal RNA (253 nucleotides) under uncultured bacterium. Its description in RNAcentral is "partial 16S ribosomal RNA". It matches the Rfam family "Bacterial small subunit ribosomal RNA", at positions 524 to 776 of the family's 1533-position model. The record is from RNAcentral.